Pyrus x bretschneideri (Chinese white pear) is the source of this 1551-nucleotide long non-coding RNA. RefSeq lists it as uncharacterized. NCBI's taxonomy places the organism in Eukaryota, Viridiplantae, Streptophyta, Magnoliopsida, Rosales, Rosaceae. The transcript has 2 exons. The record is from RefSeq and is a predicted model, not a curated record.
UUUUUCAAUUUUUAUUCUAAAGGACCUCCCCCUGAGAACAAAUGUCAACUUACAGAACAUGGCCAAUUCGACCAUCCGAUAAAACCAUAGGCACCAUGUGCCUGCUGGCAUUGGCCCUCCACCAUAUAUCAUUGGCUGUUCAGGUACAAAACCCGUUAGACGAAAUUAGAUUACCAAGACAUAAGAGGACCAAUGUAAAUUCAGUGAUGUACCCGCUGAAAGCCUUCAGCAACACCAUAUCCAGCCCCCACAGAGCCAUAUGGAUAUGGAUUUCCGCCAAAACCACCACCAUACCGUGGGUGUGCAAGGUGGUUUGCAUGAGGCCCGGCAUUGUACGAAUAAGCCCCAUCAGGUUUCUUCUCAGUCCGAGGCUUCGCAAGGACAACUUCGAGUGGAUGACCUAUAAAACCCAGAGGCCGAGAGGCCUGAGUCCACAUCGCAACUCGCCACUCCGCCGCCGUCGACUGAGAGAACAUCAUCGAUCCCGACUUUUGGAUUGAUUUCCUUGCCACCUCCGUUCACAGUGUAGGGAGCGACGGCUAUCCCACCGCCGAGGCCUAUCUCUUCAAAGUCGUUCAUUUGGAUAGAGUAGAUAGAGAGAUUGUCGGAUUUGUCAUCUGGGUUUGGAGAGUAACAGCCACGAAUUCGGGGCUCCGAUUGAAUUGGGUUGUUCUUACAAGGAUGAUUUGGCUGCCGCCCACAAGAACUGUGCUGGUUCAAGAUUAAGGGCAACAAGUGAGUAAAUUUCUGUGUCUUUUUUAUAUAUUAUAUUUCGAGUCCUUUGGUAAAUUGUUAGCUAACACGCUUAGACAGAAGAAAAAAUUGAAGACAGGAAUUGUUAGCUAACACGCUUAGGCAGAAGGAAAAAUCGAAGGCAGGACCUCGGUUUUUAGUUUCUUGCAUUAGGCAAUGUUUAUAUCUGUGAUUUGAUAAAGCAUACAAAUAUAAUUGUUCAGUCUGCGAUAUCGCCAGCAGAGCCUACGUAUAGUCUUCCACAACCCAAGUUAGAACAUCUGUGUAUGAUCAAAUAUUGAACUAUAAACUACUAAUUGUCAGAACCAUAUACGAUUUAUACGGAAAGGUGAGCCUUGCUGCAUUUUGUUGUAGUUUCUGUGAGUUUAAGUCCUAUGCUUUUCUAUGACCCUAUGCUGAUUAAGUUUCACAGCAUCAGAUGUCAUUCACUUAUUAAACGGUACGACAGAAAUCUCCUCAUGGUCUGCAGGAAAGGAAAUCUUUUAUGGCUCUAAAGCUGUUUCAUGAAAUGAAAAUUCAGAAAUGUAGACCCAACAUAUGCAUGUAUUCGGCUUUGGUAAAUGCAUUUGCAAGGGAAGGACUUUGUGAGAAAGCGGAGGAAAAUUUUUAGCAGAUGCAAGAAGCAGGGCACGAGCCUGAUGUGUAUGCGUACUAUGCCCUUAUGGAAGCUUAUAGUUUAGUCUCUGAUGGAUUCUGUAGUUUAAUUUGAGCGGUUUGAUCAAGUAUAAAUGUACAAAACUUCCAUUGUAUGAUAUGCAGCGCUAUAUAUCCGAACUUCUAUAAGAUUUUGCUCCCCAA